AUUGAACGCUGGCGGCAGGCCUAGCACAUGCAAGUCGAACGGUAACAGGAAACAGCUUGCUGUUUCGCUGACGAGUGGCGGACGGGUGAGUAAUGUCUGGGAAACUGCCUGAUGGAGGGGGAUAACUACUGGAAACGGUAGCUAAUACCGCAUAACGUCGCAAGACCAAAGAGGGGGACCCUCGGGCCUCUUGCCCUCGGAUGUGCCCAGAUGGGAUUAGCUUGUUGGUGGGGUAACGGCUCACCAAGGCGACGAUCCCUAGCUGGUCUGAGAGGAUGACCAGCCACACUGGAACUGAGACACGGUCCAGACUCCUACGGGAGGCAGCAGUGGGGAAUAUUGCACAAUGGGCGCAAGCCUGAUGCAGCCAUGCCGCGUGUAUGAAGAAGGCCUUCGGGUUGUAAAGUACUUUCAGCGGGGAGGAAGGGAGUAAAGUUAAUACCUUUGCUCAUUGACGUUACCCGCAGAAGAAGCACCGGCUAACUCCGUG
Molecule: ribosomal RNA, 490 nt
Filed under: uncultured bacterium
Lineage: Bacteria
Description: partial 16S ribosomal RNA
Rfam family: Bacterial small subunit ribosomal RNA
Source: RNAcentral